Pelobates cultripes (western spadefoot toad) is the source of this 264-nucleotide non-coding RNA. NCBI's taxonomy places the organism in Eukaryota, Metazoa, Chordata, Amphibia, Anura, Pelobatidae. The record is from the annotation of a GenBank genome assembly.
UUGUCCAUGUUGGCCAUGGACAGGCGGCUGCACUUGUCUGUGAUAACCUUGUGCCGAUCGUACGUCCCCGUGACGGCGACAACGCAUUUGGAUGUCUGCCCUAUCAACUUUCAAUGCAAUUUUCCGCGCAUACCAUGGUGACCACGAGUAACGGGGAAUCAGGAUUCGAUUCCAGAGAGGGAGCCUGAGAAACAGCUACCACAUGCAAGGAAGCAGCAGGCGCGUAAAUUUCUCACUCCCGACACGGGGAGGUAGUGACGACAA